RNAcentral lists this ribosomal RNA (381 nucleotides) under Megaselia impariseta. Its description in RNAcentral is "partial 12S ribosomal RNA". The record is from RNAcentral. Lineage: Eukaryota; Metazoa; Arthropoda; Insecta; Diptera; Phoridae.
CUAAAGUAUUAAUAGUUAUAUUCUUUAAACUUAAAAAAUUUGGCGGUAUUUUAGUCUGUUCAGAGGAACCUGUUUUGUAAUCGAUAAUCCACGUUGUACCUUACUUAAGUUUAUUUAUUAGUUUGUAUACCGUCGUUAUAGAAAAUUUUAUAAGAAUAAUAAUUUUCAAUAAAUUUAAUAAAAUUAUAUAUCAGAUCAAGGUGCAGCAUAUAUUUAAGUUAAUAAUGGGUUACAAUAAAAUAAUUUAUAUGGAUAUAAAUAUGAAAAAUUUAUUGAAAGUGGAUUUGAAAGUAAAAUUAUAUAGAUUAAUAAUUUGAUUUUAGCUCUAAAAUAUGUACAUAUCGCCCGUCACUCUUAUUAUUAAGAUAAGAUAAGUCGUAA